GACGAACGCUGGCGGCGUGCCUAAUACAUGCAAGUAGAACGCUGAAGCUUGGUGCUUGCACCGAGCGGAUGAGUUGCGAACGGGUGAGUAACGCGUAGGUAACCUGCCUGGUAGCGGGGGAUAACUAUUGGAAACGAUAGCUAAUACCGCAUAAGAGUAGAUGUUGCAUGACAUUUGCUUAAAAGGUGCAAUUGCAUCACUACCAGAUGGACCUGCGUUGUAUUAGCUAGUUGGUGAGGUAACGGCUCACCAAGGCAAAGAUACAUAGCCGACCUGAGAGGGUGGUCGGCCACACUGGGGAGGAGACACGGCCCAGACGCCUACGGGAGGCAGCAGUAGGGAAUCUUCGGGAAUGGACGGAAGACUGACCGAGCAACGCCGCGUGAGUGAAGAAGGAUUUCGGAUCGUAAAGCUCUGUUGUAAGAGAAGAACGAGGGUGAGAGUGGAAAGUUCACACUGUGACGGUAUCUGACCAGAGAGGGACGGCUAACUACGUG
Molecule: ribosomal RNA, 497 nt
Filed under: uncultured bacterium
Lineage: Bacteria
Description: partial 16S ribosomal RNA
Rfam family: Bacterial small subunit ribosomal RNA
Source: RNAcentral